This 494-nucleotide ribosomal RNA is filed under the name uncultured bacterium. RNAcentral describes it as "partial 16S ribosomal RNA". It matches the Rfam family "Bacterial small subunit ribosomal RNA", at positions 28 to 507 of the family's 1533-position model. The record is from RNAcentral.
GACGAACGCUGGCGGCGUGCCUAAUACAUGCAAGUAGAACGCUGAAGGAGGAGCUUGCUCUUCUGGAUGAGUUGCGAACGGGUGAGUAACGCGUAGGUAACCUGCCUGGUAGCGGGGGAUAACUAUUGGAAACGAUAGCUAAUACCGCAUAAGAGUAGAUGUUGCAUGACAUUUGCUUGAAAGGUGCAAUUGCAUCACUACCAGAUGGACCUGCGUUGUAUUAGCUAGUUGUUGGGGUAACGGCUCACCAAGGCGACGAUACAUAGCCGACCGGAGAGGGUGAUAGGCCACACUGGACUGAGACACGGCCCAGACUCAUUCGGGAGGCAGCCGUAGGGAAUCUUCGGGCAUGGACGGAAGUCUGAGCGAGCAACGCCGCGUGAGUGAAGAAGGUUGUCGGAUCGUAAAGCUCUGUUGUAAGAGAAGAACGAGUGUGAGAGUGGAAAGUUCACACUGUGACGGUAUCUUAUCAGAAAGGGACGGCUAACUACGUG